Long non-coding RNA from Podarcis muralis (Common wall lizard), 2057 nucleotides. RefSeq lists it as uncharacterized. NCBI's taxonomy places the organism in Eukaryota, Metazoa, Chordata, Lepidosauria, Squamata, Lacertidae. The record is from RefSeq and is a predicted model, not a curated record.
AGGAACAUCAGCCACCGCCAUGCCCAGCUGGGCACCUGUUGGAAAACAUCAGCAUCAAGGGGAUGGGGCGGACGGACAGAGAGAAGCAGACACUUGUCUUUGCAAGAAUAAAUUGUAUGUGUCACAACAUCCCACCCUCUUUCUGAUUAGCAUUUGAGGGAGCGGCAGAGAUGGAUGGAUGAAGCGAGGGGGGAAGGAAGUGCCUCCACUUGGCUGUCUCCCGCUGCAAAAGCUUGUUUUUCUUUGCCUUGCUCAGCAGGAUUUUUUUUAUUAUUAUGAUGCAGUUUUUUAUUAUGGGCUGCAUACAACCAUGCUAAUAAUUUAUUACUUCUACCCAGUGCUUUUUUUCCUGGCGGUACUUGCUGUAACAACUUUGUGGUGAGUACUGCCCCUUUUUCUAGAAAAAAGCACUGGUCAUUACUAUUAAUUUCAAUGGGCCUACUCAGAGUAUGUCAGAACUCAAUAAGUCAAUUGGGCGGCACCUGACAGUUUUGAUUUGUGUCUAGUGAACUCUGCACCAGGCUGAUCGCAAUAGUUCCCUGCAAUGAGCAGGGAGCCUGUCUGCUCCAGAAAGGUUAUGAGCUCACAGCAGAGAAACCACAGAAUCUCACUGUGAAUAACUUAGCAGAGGUAGAGAAGGAAGGAAAGAGGAAUCCUGUUUAAUAAACUUAAAAAGAUGGUUGAUUGGCCAGACCCUUACUAUUGCCCUCAGUGUAUGCUGACCCCCAUACUUACUUUCAUAUAUUGUGCUUACAGUCCACCCUUUACCAAAUAGUUCCAGGCAGGUUACAAAAAUGUCACAGUUAAAUGAGCACAGUUUACAUUAAAAUAAUAGGGAUCCCCAGCCAUUUUCCAAGAACACUUUCUGUUAUCGCAUGUCUCAAGGAGUACACCAAGGUGGGGGAUGUUCUGAAUCAGGUGGACAGUCAGCUGAUUGACAGCUAUAUUGUCCCACCUCCCUCAUACAGUGCUUCCCAAGUAACUGACAUGACUGCUGCUUGGUUGAAAGGGACUUGGGAACUGCUGCACAAAGCACUUUGCAAGCCUUGGGCUCAGCACUUCCCAAGUACCAAGCUCAGGACUGGCAAAGCUGCUUUCUGCAUGGAUUGGCUGUGAUCCAAGUUCCCAACGGGAAACUGUUGCACAGCUGAUCCCAGCAGGCCUGAAGUCUUCAACCAUGCUAGUAUCAGCUAGACCUGCUAGCUAGACCUGCUCCACAUCUAAUGUCCUUGCAGGCAAACUGGGACUUAUGCUGGUGUAUCUUUGCUACCCAGAAUAACUGGGAGGUGCUACUGACAGGACUGUGAUUCAAACUGGGAAGGAAGAAGACACAAGAAUCCUUUAGCUUUGAUGCAGUUUAUGUGAGAGUGAGUUGGUGUGCUUUCCUUUUCUUCCCUCUGCACUCAUGCUGUAGGCUGGGUUGGGGAACCUGUGAUGCUCCAAUUACAACUCUUAUCUCUUGUUGAUGGGAAUCCCAACAACAUCCAGAGGAUGUUUCCUACCCCUGCUGUAUAUUCUCUGCCUCUGGUUCUUUGAAUAAACACCCACAGAUAUCUGUGAUGGAUAGAAGGUAGUUUGCAGUCACACAGUACGGAUUUGGGAAGUUACCGUGUUAAAAUACUCUACUCCUGUUGCUGAAAACGCCUCUGCAAUUUCCUUUGUCGUUGCUACACAAGAAACAGGAUGCCCAUUGCCAAUUGGUUUUCCCAUGGUGAUAAUAUCGGGAAUAAAAUCCUCUCCUUGAAGUUGAAAUGCCCAAAAAUGUUUGCCAACCCUUCCAAAGCCAACUUGAAUCUCAUCAGCAAUGAAUACACCUCCUGCGCUGUGUAUGUGCCUAUUAAAAGAGCCAAAUCACACAUACAGGUAUAAAACCCAAUAAAUUUAUAAUUAGUUUAGUAGCUGAUUCUCAUUUUAAAAGUUGCAUUUUAUUGUGUGCUUCAAAAUAUUAAAUUUCCUUAAAAUUAAAAAUGCAAUAAGCACAAUGAACUAAAAAUUGUUCAGUGCUGACAAAAUUGAACAGCAAGUAAGAUAAUUCCAUUAAAGAGAGUUGCACCCUU